This 541-nucleotide ribosomal RNA is filed under the name uncultured Ohtaekwangia sp. RNAcentral describes it as "bacterial SSU rRNA". It matches the Rfam family "Bacterial small subunit ribosomal RNA", at positions 355 to 897 of the family's 1533-position model. Lineage: Bacteria; Pseudomonadati; Bacteroidota; Cytophagia; Cytophagales; Fulvivirgaceae. The record is from RNAcentral.
UAGGGAAUAUUGGUCAAUGGAUGCAAGUCUGAACCAGCCAUGCCGCGUGCAGGAAGAAGGCCUUCUGGGUCGUAAACUGCUUUUGCCAGGGGCUAAAAAGCCCAUGCGUGGGAAAUUGAAAGUACCUGGUGAAUAAGCCACGGCUAACUACGUGCCAGCAGCCGCGGUAAUACGUAGGUGGCAAGCGUUGUCCGGAUUUAUUGGGUUUAAAGGGUGCGUAGGCGGCCGUAUAAGUCAGUGCUGAAAUAUCCCGGCUUAACCGGGAGGGUGGCAUUGAUACUGUAUGGCUUGAGUGUAGUCGAGGUAGGCGGAAUUGACGGUGUAGCGGUGAAAUGCUUGGAUAUCGCCAAGAACACCGAUAGUGUAGACAGCUUACUAGGCUACAACUGACGCUGAGGCACGAAAGUGUGGGGAUCAAACAGGAUUAGAUACCCUGGUAGUCCACACUGUAAACGUUGAUUACUCGAUGUUGGCGAUACACAGUCAGCGUCUUAGCGCAAGCGAUAAGUAAUCCACCUGGGGAGUACGCCGGCAACGGUGA